UGAGUACGAGACGCUAAGGCGUCGAAGUAGUGGAUGUCAUACUUCCAAGAAAAGCUUGCACUGUCAUAGAUAAAAAACGCCUGUACCAUAACCGACACAGGUGGGUAGGUAGAGUAUACUAAGGGGCGCGAGAUAACUCUCUCUAAGGAACUCGGCAAAAUAACUCCGUAACUUCGGGAGAAGGAGUGCCUUAUUCGUAAGGCUGCAAUAACAAGAUCCAAGCAACUGUUUAUCAAAAACACAGGUCUCCGCUAAGUCGUAAGACGAUGUAUGGGGGCUGACGCCUGCCCAGUGCCAGAAGGUUAAAGAAGUCGGUUAGCAUUAGCGAAGCUGGUAACUGAAGCCCUGGUGAACGGCGGCCGUAACAAUAACGGUCCUAAGGUAGCGAAAUUCCUUGUCGGGUAAGUUCCGACCCGCACGAAAGGCGUAAUGAUUUGGAUACUGUCUCGGAGAGGGGUUCGGUGAAAUAGACUUGUCUGUGAAGAUGCGGACUACCUGCACCAGGACAGAAAGACCCUAUGAAGCUUUACUGUAACUUGAAAUUGAAAUUGGACUUUAUUCGCGCAGUAUAGGUGGGAGGUGUUGAUUAUAAUCUUGCGGGAUUAUUGGAGCCAUCAGUGAGAUACCACUCUUGUAAUGUUAGAUUUCUAACUUUGAAUCAUUAUCUGGUCAAAGAACAGUUUCAGGCGGGCAGUUUGACUGGGGCGGUCGCCUCCUAAAUGGUAACGGAGGCGUACAAAGGUUUCCUCUGAACGGGUAGAAAUCGUAUCUAGAGUGUAAAGGCAUAAGGAAGCUUGACUGUGAGACCUACAAGUCGAGCAGGGACGAAAGUCGGUCUUAGUGAUCUGACGGUACUGAGUGGAAAGGCCGUCACUCAACGGAUAAAAGUUACUCUAAGGAUAACAGGCUGAUCUCCCCCAAGAGUUCACAUCGACGGGGAGGUUUGGCACCUCGAUGUCGGCUCAUCGCAUCCUGGGGCGGUAGUACGUCCCAAGGGUUGGGCUGUUCGCCCAUGAAAGCGGUACGCGAGCUGGGUUCAGAACGUCGUGAGACAGUUCGGUCCAUAUCCGGUGUAGGCGUUAGAAUAUUGAGAGGAGCCUUCUUUAGUACGAGAGGACCGAGAAGGACAUACCUCUGGUGUACCAGUUAUCGUGCCAACGGUAAACGCUGGGUAGCUAUGUAUGGAGUGGAUAACCGCUGAAAGCAUCUAAGUGGGAAGCCCACCUCAAGAUAAGUAUUCUCU
RNAcentral lists this ribosomal RNA (1243 nucleotides) under metagenome. Its description in RNAcentral is "bacterial LSU rRNA". It matches the Rfam family "Bacterial large subunit ribosomal RNA", at positions 1564 to 2816 of the family's 2925-position model. The record is from RNAcentral.